AAUUUAUAAUUUUUUACAGGUGCCAACUAUCUGUUGGAUAAUAGGGAACCGGGUGAUAUUCCCGGACGGACCCGCCACUGUAUUGGGGAGCAAUUGUCAUGACCACUCUUUUUGGAGGAAGGGACAAUGUUGCAAUGAACCUGAGUCAGGAGACCUGCCUGUAAGAUUUCGUUGUU
Molecule: non-coding RNA, 176 nt
Filed under: Desulfosporosinus orientis
Lineage: Bacteria; Bacillati; Bacillota; Clostridia; Eubacteriales; Desulfitobacteriaceae
Also listed under: 1 other name
Source: RNAcentral